AUACGGAGGGUGCAAGCGUUACUCGGAAUCACUGGGCGUAAAGCGCGCGCAGGCGGGCUGAUAAGUUGGAUGUGAAAGCCUACGGCUCAACCGUAGAACUGCAUCCAAAACUGUCAGUCUCGAGUGUGGGAGAGGAAGAUGGAAUUAGUUGUGUAGGGGUAAAAUCCGUAGAGAUAACUAGGAAUACCAAAAGCGAAGGCAAUCUUCUGGAACACUACUGACGCUGAGGCGCGAAGGCGUGGGGAGCAAACAGGAUUAGAAACCCCAGUAGUCC
RNAcentral lists this ribosomal RNA (274 nucleotides) under uncultured bacterium. RNAcentral's name for it is "partial 16S ribosomal RNA". It matches the Rfam family "Bacterial small subunit ribosomal RNA", at positions 523 to 796 of the family's 1533-position model. The record is from RNAcentral.